Tigriopus californicus is the source of this 3668-nucleotide long non-coding RNA. RefSeq lists it as uncharacterized. The transcript is spliced from 3 exons. The record is from RefSeq and is a predicted model, not a curated record. Lineage: Eukaryota; Metazoa; Arthropoda; Copepoda; Harpacticoida; Harpacticidae.
UGAUAACGAGUGAACUGAAUUUUACUCUUUUCUAGUCUGUGGAAAAGUUCCAAAGAAGCAAUCGAUAACAGCAAUUUAAUGCCUAGACUUUCUUUAUCUGUGGCCAGUGUCAACUUUGGAGAUGGACUCCGCAAAGGUUGUUCACAACUCAAGGAUUGUUGAUCAGGUCUUCACAAUUGGCCAGAAUAGGCGUUGUCAGGUGGCAUACUUGGGACCCCUGUGGCAUGCAAAAAAAACGAUGAGGGCUGUCAAGUUGCCUUCAUCAAUUUCCGAAGCUAUCGUCAUCCAUCAUUCAAAGGGCCGGUUUUUUGAAAAAUGGCUCGUUGAACCCUACAAAUUUGGCAGAGGACUCGAGUCUUCUAAUCGAGUCAUCUCGAGCAAAAACACUCGUCUUGCGAAAUUCUAAGACACAAUGAAACGUUUUUUUCUUGACGAGUCUGGACUUAAGUCCUUUCUAAAAGACUCAAGUUGGGCAACUCCUCCAAAAUUGACCAAAAGAUUAAAGUAGGCUCGCCCCAGGAUUAAUUAGACCUUUGCCAUUGACGCAUUUGACAAAAUGGAGAGCGGGCUUCCUGCUUUCUUUUUGACUUCCUUCCUUUUUGAAAGCCCUGCCUUUCUUGCCUCUUUGGAUUUAAUCUGCCACUUUGACUCUUAGAUGGUUGGACAACAUCAUCAUCCGAGAAACGCCAUCACGGCUAGAUUUUCGUGAUUUCUUUUCACCUUGAAGAUGCUAACUUUGCAUGUUUUUCCAGUCUGGCAUGUUUUCUGACAUGUUCUGAGAGUCUACCAGCAAGGGUUUUAAAACUUGACAAGCCUGUUGCGAAAUCAACAGUUGGACAUUCCCUUCUUGUUCCCUUGACCAUCGAUUUCUAGACGCUGGAUGUCGGACGACCGACCACUUGGUUGGCUAAAAAGUACAAUAAACCGGUUUGUAAUCAAUUCCCAGGAGACCAUCCAUUGUACUGUUUUACCAGCCGAGUGGUCGGUCGUCCGACAUCCAGUGUCUAGAAAUCUAUGCCUUGACAUGCUUGAUAGAACUACAAUAUUUGUGACAAAAUGCAUUUUCCUUUUCAAUGACAUUUUUAUUCCAUUACUGAAAUAAUUUGCAUUUUUUUUGCAAAACUCGACAUUAUUUGAUUACUACUCAAUCUUGCCAUUUCAUGGCGUUUAUGCGGCAAAAUGAUUUUUUGACAGAUGUCCUUAAGUCCAUUGGGUAUAGUGGAUAAAUAUGGAUAGAAUUAGCCAAAAACAACGCAAACGCAUUAUAAUUCAAUGAAGAGAAAUCGGCCCAUUGGCCCUUUAUUUGCACCCUCUGAAGUGCACAACGUAAACCAUACUUCGUCCAGACCAUGGUCGUCACUCUCUUUGCAUGAAGCUUUUUAUUCAAAUUUGGAUUGUUCAAAGUCGACUUGGUCAACAUCUUAAAGUCGUUUGGCUUUCAAUGCCUUCUUUUUACAAGGGAAGCACUCUCUCUUUGUGGCCAUUAGUGAUGGGAUCAAAAAAAUUUCAAGAUCAGGAUUGCCAGAAAGCUAAGAAAAUCAAAGCACCAUCCCGUCCAUCGUAAGGUAAAAGGUUAGCUUUGACCAAAAGGCAACCCUGGUUUGAGCGAAGAAAAAUCAGGGUUACUAUUUGUGACUAACCAACGGGUUUCCGAUGUUCCGUUAGUGAACAGGGAAAAAACAGACGCUCUAAACACAAAUAGUGAGAGGUAAGUAAUGAAAAUUUCACAGAUGAAAGUACACUUAGUGGACCAUAUUGAACAAUUCCUUUUUCAGCUAUGGUUGUCAAAAAUGUGUGGUCGUCGAUACUAGAAAGCAAGGACGACGUCACCACUGGAUAGAGACGAUGGGGUGGUGGACACGUGACCUUUAUUCAAAUGCAGCGAAUGCAUUUUCCCUCCCAAAAGUUGGGCUCUGUUGACUCAGAAAGUGUUGGCCAAUUUUUUAUCUCAAUCAAACGUCUGUGUCAAAGGCAACAUGUUCUUGCAACUCAGUGGGUACAUGGGUACAAAAUGGUAAGUUCUUGCCAUCAUGGUGCUACCUCAUUCCAUUUGUGCCUUCCCUGGCCUGAGUUUGAAAUGCUCACAUAUUUUGACACCGAUGUUCGAUUGAGAGCAAAACUGGCCAACGCCUUCUGAGUCUACAACUGAGUCAACGCGUGUGAAGGGAAAUGCAUUUCAUUGAUUUGAUUUGGAAUUACUCACUUUUCCCCACUACCAUUGCUCUCCAGGGGUGAUAUCUUCCCUGUCCGAGGGGAUGUUUGGCCAAAGAAACAAGUCUCAGACGCCGGUUCUUCGAAUAGCGUCAAGUUCAUGAUGCACUAAUCUACGUACUGGUUCAGCAAAAGUUGCCACUGAUUUAGUUCACGAACCUUUUCGCUCUCUUGGAAUGUCGCCAAAAGCGUGCGUGAUAAGAGGAGAACUAGGCACUGAACUGCUCUAUUAAUAACUGUAAUUCAACUUUCCUGCCAAACUUGUUCUGAGAAAAACGAUUUGGCAAGAUCCCCGAAACGAGGCCCCUUUUUCCUUCACCUCGUGUUUUUAAGGAAUCGAAAUGUAACUACAAAACGGCCAUUUCGUUCAAGGGUUUUCCGCGUUUGUUGCAAAAAGAGGCAAUUGUGGGUCUCUUUUUGACUCAAAGAAUGCCAGUCCAGGGUCUUCGUGAGCUCAUCGUGUCGUCAUUUUGAAUCGACUUCUCUUGGUAAAGAAAUUCAAAAUUUCGAGAAGAGGAGCGCCAACCUUCACCACCUUGAUCAACAAUUUUUGGCUAAUUGUUGAAAGGAUGCGAAUUCUGGUUCACUUUUGUCAUCCCCCUCAAAAGGUUCGCAAUUGCUGGAGAAGAAGCAACGACACGGAACAUUGUUGGCGAGAAUUUUAAUUUACAACCAACUCGACAUGACAACGUCUCCAAGCAACAAAUGAAAACUUACUCGGUUACUCCGUGGUAUGAAAUCCAAUGGAGAGAAAGCUUUCACUUCCAACGUCAAGAAGCUUUUAGGAUGACGUCUUCAAAGAUAGGAGGAGGAGCCCAAAUGAACCCGAUGAAGCAAUAAAAAACGGCAUUGUAACGGUGGUAGGCGUGUGUGUAUGUCGUUUAAAUGAAAUCUCUUCCAAAAAUCUGGCUGUUUCUUGCAAUAUCUCUUAAGGCUGUAGUUUCUAACUUUAAUCCCUUUGAGGUAAGUCUAUAAAGGAACAAAACUAAUAGAUGUAAAGGCUUUAUUUGCUACAUACCACUUUCAGAUUUCUGAUAGACGUCACCAAGCUGAGUCGUAUGUAAACUCACUUAAGAAAUGUCAAUUUACUUAAAAUGUAAGUAAUUGACAAUGAGACACUGGAGCCUAAAAAACUCGUGAGAUAACCUUUUUCCAACCUUUUGACUACUUUUGGGACCAAAGUUCAUCAGUUUCAUCUUUAAAUCUUAUCUUCAGAGUUGUAUAGAUGAACAUGCCAAAGGAUGGUUUACGAAAACUACCUUAUGCUUUUAAUUUUUUAGAUCGAAUUUUUAUAGGAGUCUUUUCGAAGGCAUUUAUGAGUUUUAUUUUUACGUUUCUAGAAAAAAAAGCGUUGAUUUAGAUUUGACACAAGCUACCCUACAUAACACUCAAUCGUGAGAAAGAAAGACUAAAUCGCCCCCAAUGUAAUUAGAAGGAUUAUAAGUGUUAACUAUAUC